CACUGACAGCAAGUUGCUAAGGGUUGUCCUCCACUGUCUUAUUCCUUUGGUAAGCAUGAAUUUAUUAGCUUACCCAAAACUUACCCACUAUUAGCUUUCCUUCUAGGUAGGCGUAAAAAGUAAUUUACCCACUAUUAGCUUUCCUUCUAGGUAGGCCUAAACAUCUCUAUUAAUUUAUUAGCUUACCCAAAACUUACCACACCAUACAUACAUCCAUCUCUAUCACAAUUCACCGACUCCCAACUCAACAAAUACAACAACAAAAAAGAACUCUUCUUUCUUCUCCUUUCCUCACCCUCACCUUACCCACCCUCAUCACUCUCACUUCUAGUAACUUUCCACCAUUUUCAUUCACCUCUCAUUUUCUCUCUCCUCUUUCUUUUUAAUUCAUGUGGAAGUCGUACCCAAUCUCACAAGCUCAGCAAUGGGCUCUACGUUACGGGCCGGCCCGAUUCCCAACCCAAAGAAUGCCCACCAACAAUGGUUGCUCGUGCCGUACCCUACACUGGUGGCGACAUCAAGAAAUCCGGCGAACUUGGCAAGAUGUUCGACGUCACCACCACCACUACCCAGCUCAUCAAAUCAACUAUUUCAAGUAUUAAGCAUGCAACAGUAGAUUUAAACUGAAGGAAAGAUUGUUGUGUAUAUCGUGUAUAGGUAUUGAAUUUUGCGAGUUUUUUAGAACAAUUGUAAGGGUUGAUUGUGAAUUUUUUUUAUGUAUUGAGACUACUGUAAGUGAUUUGUGAGUUUUUUAGAAUAGUGAUUUGUAUGUUAAUUUUUAUUUUUUUUGUAAAGUUCAGUGAUUUGUGAAUUUCUUCUAACGUGAUUUUCUCAUUUAUUUCCUGAUAUAA
Beta vulgaris subsp. vulgaris (sugar beet) is the source of this 851-nucleotide long non-coding RNA. RefSeq lists it as uncharacterized. NCBI's taxonomy places the organism in Eukaryota, Viridiplantae, Streptophyta, Magnoliopsida, Caryophyllales, Amaranthaceae. The record is from RefSeq and is a predicted model, not a curated record. The transcript is spliced from 2 exons.